CCUACGGGUGGCAGCAGUAGGGAAUUUUCGUCAAUAGGCGCAAGCCUGAACGAGCAAUGCCGCGUGAACGAGGGAGGUCUUCGGAUCGUAAAGUUCUGUUGAAGGGGAAAAAGAGCGGAGAGAGGAAAUGGUCUCCGAUUGAUAUUACCCUUCGAGGAAGUCACGGCUAACUACGUGCCAGCAGCCGCGGUAAUACUUAGGUGGCGAGCGUUAUCCGGAAUGAUUGGGCGUUAAGGGUGCGUAGGCGGCCUGCUAAGUCUGGAGUGAAAGGUACCGGCUCAACCGGUACAGGGUCUGGAAAAUGGCGGGCUAGAGAGGAGGAGAGGGCGGUGGAACUCCAUGUGUAGCGGUAAAAUGCGUAGAUAUAUGGAAGAACACCAGUGGCGAAGGCGGCCGCCUGGCCUGUUGACUGACGCUGAGGCACGAAAGCGUGGGGAGCAAAUAGGAUUAGAUACCCCUGUAGUC
RNAcentral lists this ribosomal RNA (465 nucleotides) under uncultured bacterium. RNAcentral describes it as "partial 16S ribosomal RNA". It matches the Rfam family "Bacterial small subunit ribosomal RNA", at positions 338 to 795 of the family's 1533-position model. The record is from RNAcentral.